This 73-nucleotide transfer RNA is filed under the name Stegodyphus mimosarum. It matches the Rfam family "tRNA". Rfam says of the family: Transfer RNA (tRNA) molecules are approximately 80 nucleotides in length. Their secondary structure includes four short double-helical elements and three loops (D, anti-codon, and T loops). Lineage: Eukaryota; Metazoa; Arthropoda; Arachnida; Araneae; Eresidae. The record is from Rfam by way of RNAcentral.
GCCUUCGUGGCGUAGUGGUCAGCACGCUCGACGCGUAACUGAGAGGUCUGUAGUUCGAUUCCCAGCGAAGGCG